UGCUAAUACCGCAUGACAUAUCGGAACCACAUGGUUUUGAUAUCAAAGAUUUUAUCGCUUGAAGAUGGACUCGCGUCCGAUUAGUUAGUUGGUGAGGUAACGGCUCACCAAGACCGCGAUCGGUAGCCGGACUGAGAGGUUGAACGGCCACAUUGGGACUGAGACACGGCCCAAACUCCUACGGGAGGCAGCAUG
RNAcentral lists this ribosomal RNA (195 nucleotides) under uncultured bacterium. RNAcentral describes it as "partial 16S ribosomal RNA". It matches the Rfam family "Bacterial small subunit ribosomal RNA", at positions 161 to 353 of the family's 1533-position model. The record is from RNAcentral.